GAUAAGAACGUAGCGAAAUGCGAUAAGUAAUGUGAAUUGCAGAAUUCAGUGAAUCAUCGAAUCUUUGAACGCACAUUGCGCCCGCCAGUAUUCUGGCGGGCAUGCCUGUUCGAGCGUCAUUUCAACCCUCAGGCCCCCAGUGCCUGGUGUUGGGGAUCGGCCCAGCCUUCCUGUAAGGCCGCCGGCCCCGAAAUCUAGUGGCGGUCUCGCUGUAGUCCUCCUCUGCGUAGUAGCACAACCUCGCAGUUGGAACGCGGCGGUGGCCAUGCCGUUAAACACCCCACUUCUGAAAGUUGACCUCGGAUCAGGUAGGAAUACCCGCUGAACUUAAGCAUAUCAAUAAGCGGAGGA
RNAcentral lists this unclassified non-coding RNA (351 nucleotides) under soil metagenome. RNAcentral describes it as "partial contains 5.8S ribosomal RNA, internal transcribed spacer 2, and large subunit ribosomal RNA". The stretch from base 4 to 119 matches the Rfam family "5.8S ribosomal RNA", at positions 39 to 154 of the family's 154-position model. The record is from RNAcentral.